CACGGAACGGACCAGCUCUGGUACAAGUGAUGCCACGAUUCUCUUAAUUGGACGUGAUGGAUACAGAACGCAACGAUUGCGGAACAAGUACCGUCGCGAAUCAUAUAUUGGGGACUUGACAAUCCAAAUAUUCAACAAGGAGACCUAACAACAUCCAAUUGUUCUGAGAGGAGGAGGAGGCUUAGGAAAGGCAUCUGGCCCCGGCGGAGCAACUUUGGGUAUCAUCGCAGCUUCGUGGCUGAACAACUCCGCCCGUUGCGCUUCGAGUUGGUGAGUGAAACAUUUUUUUAUAAAAUGGGGUAACAAAUCUGUGAAACUUAUAUGUAUUGAUACAAAACUUUAUAUAUAUAAUGUCCCUGUAAUAGGACAGCAAAUAGCCACAAUUCUUUUCACAGAUCUGUUACUUUAAAAUAGAUAGAUUAUAUCUGAUUAGGCUAAAUAUUUAAUUCUGGAACUUCUCUUUUUUUGUCUUAUU
Molecule: long non-coding RNA, 475 nt
Organism: Wasmannia auropunctata (little fire ant)
Lineage: Eukaryota; Metazoa; Arthropoda; Insecta; Hymenoptera; Formicidae
Exons: 4
Source: RefSeq, a predicted model, not a curated record